Molecule: ribosomal RNA, 1565 nt
Filed under: human metagenome
Description: bacterial LSU rRNA
Rfam family: Bacterial large subunit ribosomal RNA
Source: RNAcentral
AGUACCGUGAGGGAAAGGUGAAAAGAACCCCGGGAGGGGAGUGAAACAGAACCUGAAACCGUAAGCUUACAAGCAGACAGAGCGCCAUAGGAGUGUGAUGUCGUACUUUUUGUAGAACGGGCCGGCGAGUUACGAUGUGAUGCGAGGUUAAGUGUUAAAGACACGGAGCCGAAGCGAAAGCGAAUCUGAAGAGGGUGAGAAGUAUCAUGUCGUAGACCCGAAACCGAAUGACCUAACCAUGAGCAGGUUGAAGCAAUGGUAAAACGUUGUGGAGGACCGAACACACGCCUGUUGAAAUAGUCGGUGAUGACUUGUGGUUAGCGGAGAAAUUCCAAACGAAUUCGGAUAUAGCUGGUUCUCCUCGAAAUAGCUUUAGGGCUAGCCUCGCAUAUAAUCCAUGUCGGUAGAGCACUAAAUGGCCUAGGGGGCUUCACAGCCUACCGAAGCUUAUUAAACUCCGAAUGGCAAGGAAUUGAGUGCGGGAGUCAGACAGCGACAGCUAAGUGCCGUUGUCAAAAGGGAAACAGCCCAGAUCUACAGCUAAGGUCCCGAAGUACAGGUUAAGUGGAAAAGGAUGUGACAAUGCAUAGACAACCAGGAUGUUGGCUCAGAAGCAGCCACGCAUUAAAAGAGUGCGUAAUAGCUCACUGGUCGAGUGAUGUUGCGCCGAAAAUUAACGGGGCUCAAACCUGACACCGAAGCUUAGGAAUACGCGAAGCGUAUUGGUAGAGGAGCAAUGUAUACGAGCGGAAGCCGUACCGGAAGGAGCGGUGGAUUGUAUAGAAGAGAGAAUGCCGGCAUAAGUAGCGAGAGCGGAGCGAGAAACUCCGCCGUCGAAAGUCUGAGGUUUUCCGGGGAAGGUUCGUCCACCCGGAGUAAGUCGGGACCUAAGCGGAGGCCGAAAGGCGUACGUGAUGGACAACAGGUUGAUAAUCCUGUACUACCGAGAGAGCUAAUGAAGCAGUGACACGGAAAGAUAGAAGAAGCGCGCAGAUGGAAAAGCGCGUCCAAGCAGUGAGGGAGGCUUGUAGUAAAGUACGCAAGUCAUAAUCCUGGGCUGUGACGGGGAGUGGACCAAGGAAACGAAGUCUUUGAAUCUACGCCGGCGAGAAAAGCUGCUAAAUGUUUCGAGGUACCCGUACCGCAAACCGACACAGGUAGACGAGAAGAAAAUUCUAAGACGAACGGGAGAACCCUUGUUAAGGAACUCGGCAAAAUGACCCCGUAACUUCGGGAGAAGGGGAGCCACAGAGAUGUGGCCGCAGUGAAGAGGCCCAAGCGACUGUUUAUCAAAAACACAGGUUUCUGCUAAGGCGUAAGCCAAGGUAUAGGAGCUGACUCCUGCCCAGUGCCGGAAGGUCAAGGGGAUCCGUCAGCGCAAGCGAAGCGGUGAACUUAAGCCCCGGUGAACGGCGGCCGUAACUAUAACGGUCCUAAGGUAGCGAAAUUCCUUGUCGGGUAAGUUCCGACCCGCACGAAUGGUGUAAUGAUCUGGGCACUGUCUCAAUUACCCGCCCGGCGAAAUUGUAGUACCGGUGAAGAUGCCGGUUACCCGCGACAAGACG